RNAcentral lists this long non-coding RNA (599 nucleotides) under Mytilus galloprovincialis (Mediterranean mussel). Lineage: Eukaryota; Metazoa; Mollusca; Bivalvia; Mytilida; Mytilidae. The record is from RNAcentral.
GUUGAAAGUUUAAACUAGUCUACAUAUACUACAAAGUAAGUGUAAAACUGUGUUGCAGAAAUUCUUCAUUCUCAUUUCAAAGAAGGAAUAAGGUAUUUUAAGGAGCAAUUUAACCCCUUUUAUAAAUAAAUUACAAAUGUUUGCUUUGUAAACGUUAGACAAAAUGCAAUAUUUCUUAGGACUCUGAGUAUUUUCAUUUGUUAGUUAAAUGCUGAAAAUGUGUUUUUUUUUCAUACCACACAAAAAACAUGAUUUUGAUAUCAACUUUUAACUGUUGUAUUAUUUAUAUCAUUCCACAAACAAAACCAGUGAUUUAUUUUAAACACACCACUCUCUAAUUUAUAUAUAUUUCUUAGAUUAACUUAUCUCUUUGUUUUGAAAAGUAAUUGAAAUUCCUGAUACAAAAAAAAAAGAAUUUUUGGAAAAUGCCAAAUUUUGAGGGUAACAGUUAAUUAAAUAUUUAAUGCACCAUGUUCUCUCAAAACUAAAAAGUUUUAAUAUUUAAGAGUAUCAAGGGACAUUUCUUGACACAUCGUGUCCUUUGUUAUUACAUCUUAUGUCCGUCCAUUUAUUUUUAUUGUCUGUGAUAUGUACAGGAC